GAUGAACGCUGGCGGCGUGCCUAAUACAUGCAAGUCGAGCGAACGGACGAGAAGCUUGCUUCUCUGAUGUUAGCGGCGGACGGGUGAGUAACACGUGGAUAACCUACCUAUAAGACUGGGAUAACUUCGGGAAACCGGAGCUAAUACCGGAUAAUAUUUUGAACCGCAUGGUUCAAAAGUGAAAGACGGUCUUGCUGUCACUUAUAGAUGGAUCCGCGCUGCAUUAGCUAGUUGGUAAGGUAACGGCUUACCAAGGCAACGAUGCAUAGCCGACCUGAGAGGGUGAUCGGCCACACUUGAACUGAGGCACGGUCCAGACUCCUACGGGAGGCAGCAGUAGGGAAUCUUCCGCAAUGGGCGAAAGCCUGACGGAGCAACGCCGCGUGAGUGAUGAAGGUCUUCGGAUCGUAAAACUCUGUUAUUAGGGAAGAACAUAUGUGUAAGUAACUGUGCACAUCUUGACGGUACCUAAUCAGAAAGCCACGGCUAACUACGU
This 496-nucleotide ribosomal RNA is filed under the name uncultured bacterium. RNAcentral's name for it is "partial 16S ribosomal RNA". It matches the Rfam family "Bacterial small subunit ribosomal RNA", at positions 28 to 506 of the family's 1533-position model. The record is from RNAcentral.